GGCCUACGGGAGGCAGCAGUCGGGAAUUUUGGGCAAUGGGGGAAAGCCUGACCCAGCAACGCCGCGUGAAGGAUGAAAUCCUUCGGGAUGUAAGUUUCGCAAGACCGGGAAGACUAAGUAAGCGUUAAGUGUAGCAGAG
This 139-nucleotide ribosomal RNA is filed under the name uncultured bacterium. Its description in RNAcentral is "partial 16S ribosomal RNA". It matches the Rfam family "Bacterial small subunit ribosomal RNA", at positions 335 to 472 of the family's 1533-position model. The record is from RNAcentral.